UUUCCUCCGUUUCUCUCUGUUUUCUCCUCUCAUUUGUUCUUGAGUGGAGAUUAUCAAUUAAGCAGCAGCAUGUAAAGAUCAGAGAUGGCGGCACCUUUCACGUUGAGGAAAAUCGGAGUCCCGCCGAACUCAGCGAACCUGACGGAAGCUCGACGCCGUGUAUUCGACUUCUUCAGAGCUGCGAGUAGAUCCCUCCCCACCGUAAUGGACAUUUACAAUCUUCAAGAUGUCGUCGCGCCUUCUCAGCUACGUUUCGCAAUAACGCUCACGUCAUUGAUCCUAAGCCAAGAACAUUAUUCUCGCUGGUGUGAAGUCAGUGACUCUUCACGAUGAAAAUGUGGUUGAGCUAUGGGACUUGUCUAGUAACUUUGUUUUCUCGGAGGAGGACGUUGGUAAGAAUAGGGCACUUGCUUCUCUUCAGAAGCUGCAAGAACUCCACAAUGCCGUGAAUGUCUCAAACUUUGACCGACAAGUUAACCAAAGAGCAGCUUUCUUGUUUCCAGUUUCUUCCACGGCUAUGAUCACCUGCUACGCGAAGCAAGGGAACGUUGAGGCUGCGAGGGAUUUGUUCGAAAGAGUGCCUGAGACUGAGAGAGACAUUGUUUCUUGGAACGUGAUGAUCGAUGGAUACGCUCAACAUGGCUUUCCCAGCGAAGCUCUGAUGCUUUUCCAAAAACUGUUGGCCAAAGGAAACGCAUCGACCUAAACGGUGCAGCAUAGCAAUGUGAACGCAUGUGUAAGCUACACAAACGUAUAGGAAUGUGAACACAUGUGUGACUAAUUGCAUAGCAGAGAGGACAUGAUGUUUAUUUUAUUAUCUUUUUUAACAUUCUGGUUUCACAUCAUGUACUUGCAGUUGGGAAUAGCGAUUGUUAAUGACUUCAAAAGUAUUGAAGGAGGCAGAGCAAUGUGACUUCAGUCUCUCCCAAUAGCUUUUGGCACUGAGGCUGCAAAAUGGAUAUGCGUUAGUGCUAUAGACGUUACUCAGCUCUCUGUUGCCGGUGCGUUUACGCGGGGUCGUUGACGAAAUUGUUGCUUUAUAUAAAUAAUUUGGAGAUAUUGUGCUGUGAAGUGGUCUUUCGCAUGUGAAUAUUUGUAAUUUUAUUGGAUUUAUGGUGAGGUAAGACGCUGCGCUAGCAUGUUCUAGAGAGAAGACGCUGUAACAGAGAGAAACAAUGCAACUCCGAGGUCAAUGCAUCAUGACAAACAGUUCUAUGUAGAGUGCGAUUGAGAGAGAGAAUGAUUCAACCGUAACCGGCACAUUUAGUUUAGUGGGAUAAUAAAUAUUUCGUAGGUAGCGUUUAGUGGGAUUCUAUUGUACUCUUUGAUAUACACUUCUCCGCAAAUAUUUUUAUAAUGAUGAGUAAUUCAGCAAAAUCUUUGUUCUUUUUUUAUUAUAAUGGUUCUU
Brassica oleracea var. oleracea is the source of this 1408-nucleotide long non-coding RNA. RefSeq lists it as uncharacterized. NCBI's taxonomy places the organism in Eukaryota, Viridiplantae, Streptophyta, Magnoliopsida, Brassicales, Brassicaceae. The transcript is spliced from 5 exons. The record is from RefSeq and is a predicted model, not a curated record.